CCAGCCCGCUCAGAAACUCAAGGAAUUGACGGGGCCCGCACAAGCGGUGAGCAUGUGGUUUAAUUCGAUGAUACGCGAGGAACCUUACCUGGGCUCAAAUGUAUGUUGACGUAUUCUGAAAGGGAUACUUCUUCGGACAAUAUACAAGGUGCUGCAUGGUUGUCGUCAGCUCGUGCCGUGAGGUGUCGGGUUAAGUCCCAUAACGAGCGCAACCCCUAUCAUUAGUUGCCAUCAGGUCAAGCUGGGGACUCUAAUGAAACUGCCUACGCAAGUAGUGAGGAAGGUGGGGAUAACGUCAAAUCAGCACGGCCCUUACGUCCAGGGCUACACACGUGCUACAAUGGCCGGUACAAAGGGCAGCUACCUGGUGACAGGAUGCUAAUCUCAAAAGCCGGUCUCAGUUCGGAUCGGAGUCUGCAACCCGACUCCGUGAAGCUGGAAUCGCUAGUAAUCGCGCAUCAGCCAUGGCGCGGUGAAUACGUUCCCGGGCCUU
Molecule: ribosomal RNA, 493 nt
Filed under: uncultured Sphingobacteriales bacterium
Lineage: Bacteria; Pseudomonadati; Bacteroidota; Sphingobacteriia; Sphingobacteriales
Description: bacterial SSU rRNA
Rfam family: Bacterial small subunit ribosomal RNA
Source: RNAcentral